GCAGUCGCCGCGGGAAUACAGAGGGUGCGAGCGUUAAUCGGAUUUACUGGGCGUAAAGCGUGCGUAGGCGGCUAAUUGAGUCGGAUGUGAAAUCCCCGAGCUUAACUUGGGAAUUGCAUUCGAUACUGGUUAGCUAGAGUGUGGGAGAGGAUGGUAGAAUUCCAGGUGUAGCGGUGAAAUGCGUAGAGAUCUGGAGGAAUACCGAUGGCGAAGGCAGCCAUCUGGCCUAAUACUGACGCUGAGGUACGAAAGCAUGGGGAGCAAACAGGAUUAGAUACCCCCGUAGUCCCUGUCUCUUAUAC
Molecule: ribosomal RNA, 302 nt
Filed under: uncultured bacterium
Lineage: Bacteria
Description: partial 16S ribosomal RNA
Rfam family: Bacterial small subunit ribosomal RNA
Source: RNAcentral